GCCGGGGUAGCCAAGUCAGGCCAAUCUCUGUAAACUAGUGUUUAGUUCAGAGGGUCAUAGGCGAUGGACUCAAGAUCCAUUCCCGCAGGGGUUCGAGAGUUCAAAUCUCUCCCCCGGCA
RNAcentral lists this transfer RNA (119 nucleotides) under Candidatus Nanohalococcus occultus. Its description in RNAcentral is "Candidatus Nanohaloarchaeota archaeon SVXNc tRNA-Leu". It matches the Rfam family "tRNA". Rfam says of the family: Transfer RNA (tRNA) molecules are approximately 80 nucleotides in length. Their secondary structure includes four short double-helical elements and three loops (D, anti-codon, and T loops). Lineage: Archaea; Nanobdellati; Candidatus Nanohalarchaeota. The record is from RNAcentral.